This 1372-nucleotide ribosomal RNA is filed under the name uncultured bacterium. RNAcentral describes it as "bacterial SSU rRNA". It matches the Rfam family "Bacterial small subunit ribosomal RNA", at positions 28 to 1381 of the family's 1533-position model. The record is from RNAcentral.
GAUGAACGCUGGCGGCGUGCCUAAUACAUGCAAGUCGAGCGAACGGACGAGAAGCUUGCUUCUCUGAUGUUAGCGGCGGACGGGUGAGUAACACGUGGAUAACCUACCUAUAAGACUGGGAUAACUUCGGGAAACCGGAGCUAAUACCGGAUAAUAUUUUGAACCGCAUGGUUCAAAAGUGAAAGACGGUCUUGCUGUCACUUAUAGAUGGAUCCGCGCUGCAUUAGCUAGUUGGUAAGGUAACGGCUUACCAAGGCAACGAUGCAUAGCCGACCUGAGAGGGUGAUCGGCCACACUGGAACUGAGACACGGUCCAGACUCCUACGGGAGGCAGCAGUAGGGAAUCUUCCGCAAUGGGCGAAAGCCUGACGGAGCAACGCCGCGUGAGUGAUGAAGGUCUUCGGAUCGUAAAACUCUGUUAUUAGGGAAGAACAUAUGUGUAAGUAACUGUGCACAUCUUGACGGUACCUAAUCAGAAAGCCACGGCUAACUACGUGCCAGCAGCCGCGGCAAUACGUAGGUGGCAAGCGUUAUCCGGAAUUAUUGGGCGUAAAGCGCGCGUAGGCGGUUUUUUAGUCUGAUGUGAAAGCCCACGGCUCAACCCGUGGAGGGUCAUUGGAAACUGGAAAACUUGAGUGCAGAAGAGGAAAGUGGAAUUCCAUGUGUAGCGGUGAAAUGCGCAGAGAUAUGGAGGAACACCAGUGGCGAAGGCGACUUUCUGGUCUGUAACUGACGCUGAUGUGCGAAAGCGUGGGGAUCAAACAGGAUUAGAUACCCUGGUAGUCCACGCCGUAAACGAUGAGUGCUAAGUGUUAGGGGGUUUCCGCCCCUUAGUGCUGCAGCUAACGCAUUAAGCACUCCGCCUGGGGAGUACGACCGCAAGGUUGAAACUCAAAGGAAUUGACGGGGACCCGCACAAGCGGUGGAGCAUGUGGUUUAAUUCGAAGCAACGCGAAGAACCUUACCAAAUCUUGACAUCCUUUGACAACUCUAGAGAUAGAGCCUUCCCCUUCGGGGGACAAAGUGACAGGUGGUGCAUGGUUGUCGUCAGCUCGUGUCGUGAGAUGUUGGGUUAAGUCCCGCAACGAGCGCAACCCUUAAGCUUAGUUGCCAUCAUUAAGUUGGGCACUCUAAGUUGACUGCCGGUGACAAACCGGAGGAAGGUGGGGAUGACGUCAAAUCAUCAUGCCCCUUAUGAUUUGGGCUACACACGUGCUACAAUGGACAAUACAAAGGGCAGCGAAACCGCGAGGUCAAGCAAAUCCCAUAAAGUUGUUCUCAGUUCGGAUUGUAGUCUGCAACUCGACUACAUGAAGCUGGAAUCGCUAGUAAUCGUAGAUCAGCAUGCUACGGUGAAUACGUUCCCGGGUCU